RNAcentral lists this ribosomal RNA (250 nucleotides) under uncultured bacterium. Its description in RNAcentral is "partial 16S ribosomal RNA". It matches the Rfam family "Bacterial small subunit ribosomal RNA", at positions 524 to 773 of the family's 1533-position model. The record is from RNAcentral.
UACGUAGGGGGCAAGCGUUAUCCGGAAUCAUUGGGCGUAAAGCGCGUGUAGGCGGUUCCGUAAGUCCGCUCUGAAAGCCCAGGGCUCAACCCUGGGAGGCGGGUGGAUACUACGGAACUGGAGUACGGAAGAGGAGAUUGGAAUUCCUGGUGUAGCGGUGAAAUGCGCAGAUAUCAGGAGGAACACCGGUGGCGAAGGCGGGUCUCUGGGCAGUAACUGACGCUGAGGAGCGAAAGCGUGGGGAGCGAAC